RNAcentral lists this long non-coding RNA (524 nucleotides) under Coturnix japonica (Japanese quail). RNAcentral's name for it is "lncRNA (ENSCJPG00005014404.1)". The record is from RNAcentral. Lineage: Eukaryota; Metazoa; Chordata; Aves; Galliformes; Phasianidae.
GGGAUGCUAAUAUCUGCAAAACAUGUUUUCCCUUAAGGUGUGCCCCUGCUUGAAGCCCUGUGGGUCCCUGUUGCCUGGAGGUGUGCAUGUGGGAGCAGAGACAGCAUGUGGCAGAGCAUGCACGUGUACCUCAGCUGCUCUUCUCUGUCUGUAAGGCAGGUCGCAGGCUUUGCCUGUCUCCUCUGGCAGCAUGAAGGAAGGGUGCAGGACCUCACCUCUGUGGACUGAUUUGUCCCCACAGGAAAAUCUCUUUGGUCUCCAAGGCUGGGAGAUGUGGGAACUCACUGGUUGGUGUAGCCUUCUCUGUGGAAAACAGAGCACGUCUUACUACAAUGGUUAAAUAAAUGAUAAUUAGAGUUGUGGAUGUUCUAAUCCAAUCGGUUGGAUGGGAUAUUUCCUUGCUGACCUCCCUUAUGGCAGCACCAAGGGGAGCAAAUUCAUAUAUCACUGCAGAAAGCUUGCCGAGUCCCCUUGAAGUGUUAUGAAAGUUGCUGUGCAAAGCUAUUUUCUUUCUGAAAGGCAAA